RNAcentral lists this ribosomal RNA (254 nucleotides) under uncultured bacterium. RNAcentral's name for it is "partial 16S ribosomal RNA". It matches the Rfam family "Bacterial small subunit ribosomal RNA", at positions 524 to 776 of the family's 1533-position model. The record is from RNAcentral.
UACGGGGGGAGCAAGCGUUGUUCGGAUUUACUGGGCGUAAAGGGCGCGUAGGCGGUCGUGACAAGUCACUUGUGAAAUCUCCGGGCUUAACUCGGAACGGUCAAGUGAUACUGUCGGACUAGAGUACAGAAGGGGCAACUGGAAUUCUCGGUGUAGCGGUGAAAUGCGUAGAUAUCGAGAGGAACACCAGUGGCGAAGGCAGGUCUCUGGGCCGAUACUGACGCUGAGGAGCGAAAGCGUGGGGAGCGAACAGG